AGCAAGCUGACACAGAAGAUCAAAAAGAAGAAAGAUAUGGACUCUGCCAGCUCGAGAUCGGAUAUGGACUACACUUUAUCCUAGCAAUGGAGAUAAGAUGAUGGCACACCAAGAAAAUGGCUGGAAAGUCUGAUUGGUUUUUUUUUUUUUUUUUUUUUUUUACUGACAGAGAAGCAUCCCAACAAUUCAGACCCAUGUCUUAUUUUUAGGAAGAAUCCCUCCAAAAAAGACAUCCAGCAAGGGUUCCACAGAGUCCUAUACAACAAGGUUUAUAUGGCAGCCAAAAAACAGACAGGAAAAUUCUCCAGAGCUACCAUCCAGGUCCAAAGCCUUACAUAAAGCUUGUAUUUCAAGAA
This is a long non-coding RNA of Thamnophis elegans (Western terrestrial garter snake), 356 nucleotides long. RefSeq lists it as uncharacterized. The transcript has 2 exons. The record is from RefSeq and is a predicted model, not a curated record. Lineage: Eukaryota; Metazoa; Chordata; Lepidosauria; Squamata; Natricidae.